This 9940-nucleotide long non-coding RNA is filed under the name Homo sapiens (human). RNAcentral's name for it is "non-protein coding CEBPA-DT:14". The record is from RNAcentral. Lineage: Eukaryota; Metazoa; Chordata; Mammalia; Primates; Hominidae.
AGGCGCCCGUAUCCAGCCACGGCCGGGAGCCCAGGAGUAUCCCGAGGCUGCACGGGGUCGGAGCGCGCGGCUUGCUAGGCGCGCGGGGCCGGCGCUGUUACCCGGCGUGGAGUCGCCGAUUUUUUUUCCUGCGGGACCGCGGGGCCCCCCAGACUAGCGGAGCUGGACGCCGGGGCGAGCACGGGGAGGGGCGCACCGAGGGAGGAGACAAACUUAACUCUGGGGCCGGGAUUCCGAGGCGGGGGCCGCAGCCCUCGAGGCCCGAAGCCACCGCUUCCUCCCCCGCCUCCCCAUUCAGGUGGGCGCCAACGGCGGGAGCGAGGGUGUCCAGGCCGCCGGGCUGCCAGGUCCGAGCACGCACAGGGAGAACUCUGCCCAGUGGUUCGCCGGGCGCUGUAGUCCCCGGGAUCCUAGGGACCGAGGCGGCCAGGCCCUGGGGCCCCUUGAGUGCGGCAGCUAAUGCUCUCACCGCGGCGGGGGAAGGAGCUUGCCACCGAGACCCCCAGCCACGUGCGUCCCUCGCAUUCUUUACCGGGGCCGGGGUGGCGGCUACGGACCGUCAGCUGGGCCCAGAUGGAGUCUUGGGAGCCCUCAAGUGUCUCCUGUCCUUGCCCGCGCCGCCCCUCGCCACUGGCGCUGAGGCCUGACGCCGCCUGCGUCCCGGCUAGAGGCGCGCUUGCCUACAGGUGAGGGAAGACCCCCUUCACCGACAGUGGCCUUAGGCCUGGCAAGGCGCCACGACCCGCCCAGGAGCCCCGGAGGGGGCACAGCUAAAAACACCGCUGGAGAGCCCCGAGCUUCCACGACGAUCGCAGUAAAGAAGCAGUUUCAUCUGGGCAACGCACACUGCGCUUUAAUCAAGUUCCUAUUCAACAUAGUCCCAGUGAUUAAUAGCCCAACUGCUUCGUUUUCGGUCCAGAGCUCAUAAACAAGAUAUUUUUAGCUUGACGCUUUUGGACGGGAGGGAGUAAAAACCAGAUACGUUAAAUAAAUAUCCCGAUGUGAGCCGGAGAGCUGCUUGCUGAGCCAAAUGCAGGACCCAUUCAUAUAGCAUUCACCUGUGGAGGGAGACCUGGACGGAAAUCAAAAAGCACCAAGAGCGAUUUGCGUUUUUUUCUGCGGUGCUAAAACUAAUGGCUUUUCCUACCUAGGAACAAAGAAACGCCACUGUACAUGCACGGUUCCCGGCCUGUGGAGUUGUGGGAGGAAGGCGAUGUCUGGCCUUUUUUGCACAGCUGCUGUUGCCUGCCCAGAGAUCGGGAACUCUGCCCCGUAGGACUGGAAGAAACCUCAGUAAUGGGAAUAAGACUUUGUCCAAUAGGGGGCUGAUGAAUGUGUGGGGGCGACAAUGGCAAGGAGUGGGACUCCCGGCCCGGGGUUCGCCAACCCCAGGGGCCACAGGUCCUCCUACAAUUGAACCAGAAUUCACCCACCCGGGCCUGCCCUGUGCAGGGUGCCGAGAGCCCAGGGAUGCAUGAGAGGGUGGCUCCUGCCUCUGGGAACUGGGACAGUGGGAGAGACGGAUAAGUUGUCACACAGAGGCUGCUGGGAGGAAGGAGGAGACAGAAGGAGUAGGGGAUGGGACUUCAUUCAUUCAUCAAAUGCACACGAGGCACAAAUGGGAAUCAAGGGUGGAUGUGCUGUGAUGAAGAGAAGUCCUGCCCUGAACAAGGUGGCGCUGUGGAGGAGGCAGAGAUCAGAUUUGUCUGCGGAGGUGUUAUGGACUGAACUGUGUCCCUGCCCCAAAUUCCUAUGUUGAAGGCCUAACCCCCAUGUGACUGUAUUUGGAGAUAAGGCUUUUAGGAAGUCAUUAAAGUGAGAUGAUGUCAUAUGGGUAGGGUCCUAAUUUGAUAGGAUUGGUGGCCUUAUCAGAAGAACAAUGUCAUGGGCAUGCACAGAAAGGAGGUGGCCGUCUGCAAGCAGGGAAGAGGCCCCUCACCAGAACCUGAGGGUGCUGGCAGCUUGGCUUUGGCCUUGGGCAUCCAGCCUCCAGAACCAUGAGAAAUAAAUGUUUAUGGUAGGUCUAUGAUGGCAGCCUGCUUGGACUGAACCGGCGGUGAGACAGGGCUUCAUGCAGGAGCAGACCUUUGAGCUGGGCCUUGAAAGUUGAGCAGGAAUUUGCUGGAAGGAUAAGGGAGGAAGGCUCUUCUAGGAGGAGGGAAUGGUAAGUGCAAAGGUGGAGAGCCUGCCAGUGCAUGUGUUCUGGUAACAAAGAACGAGAUGGUUGGCCGGCUGGAGAGUGGGGUGAGGGAGGGUGGGGCCUAGAUAAGGCUGGAUCCGCAGACAGGGCUGGGCUGAUGGCCAAGGCCACUGCAGGUGAAGGGGGAACCCUUAUCUCCCAGGCUUUUGACCUCCAGAUUUUAGCAGGGGAGCUUCGUUGUCGGAUUUGGGUUCCUGAGAAUCUACUCUGGCCAAGACGGAGAGGGGGUGUUGACCAGAUGGGAAAGGAUGGAGACUUGUAUUGCCCCAGUAAUGAGCGGGCAGGGUAGAUUAGAACAAGAUGUCAGGACUUGGGGGCUGAAUGCCAGGCUUCUGGCUGGGAUUACCACCCCCUGACACAUAUAAUGCCCAGGAAAUUGGAGGCCCCUCUCCAAGCCCCCAGGAGGCCACUGGGGACUCAUUCCAGGAUACUCACCUGCCUGCUUUGUGGUUUUGGAGGGGAAGACCUUGGAGCAGUUGCGAAGAUCCAUCUACCAUGUUCUGGUUUUUCCUUGGAAGCCUAAAAGUGUACCUCGGGAUGAGGAGGAAAUGGUUUUGAGGGCAAGUGGUAGGUCUCUGGCUAGGCCUGGCGGGGUUCUCAGAGGACAGGGGGUGUCUAGGGCCCUAGAUAGAAGUGUCCUGCCCAAGCCCUAAAGCAGGAAAUUAGCUGGGGAGUUGGGGUGAGACCCUGGGGUCGAUGGAGGCACUUUCCAUGGGAGAGUCCCACAGGGUAAGGGAGAGGGGGCUGAUGUCUGACAGUCUCAUAGACAGUUGGCUUGUGGCUGGAGAAGUGGGAGCAAAGGAGAAAUCACCUUUGAUUGGGAGAAGUGGCUCUGGCUCAUGUGCAACUGAGACAAAGCCAGUCCUAAGAGCAGCUUGUAAAUUCUUCUGUGACCACCUUUAAGGUCCUUCUUCCUGAGGCUGUGGAUGGGGGUGUACACAGGCCCAGUGUGGGGGGUUGAGCGUGAGUCCCCGGGAAACGGUGGUCCUGAGUUUUGGAUGCUCCAGGAUGAAGCCUGAUUCUGGAGUCAAUCACAGCACUAACCAUUUUGAGAAGACAAACAGAGCCCUAGAAAUGUUUUAUUUUACUUUGGUUUAACCUUCCUAAUGCAAGGCCCACGAGAGAAUUAGUACGUAAGUUUGGAAAUCAAUCAAAUUCUGAAGAGCAAAAACGGAACUAACCCUUCUGAUGUAGUUUUCUGACUUUAUCUGAAGCUGAAAUGUGUGUGUAAGAUUGGUCGCUCCAAACAGGACCAAUUCAGAUAAGAUAAAAGUCCAGAACUAUGAUUUCAGGCUCAGCUGAGCUCUGGCUAGGGGUACAAGUAUCUAAUAUGGUAUAGCUAAUAAUGUCUCAAUCAUUCAAUAAGAUACUCUCAAAGGCCUUCCUCCAACUAGACAAACAAAACAAAAUAAAAACACUAGUUACUUUUUGUUACAAAUGGAUUCAUAAACGGUUUUAUACUGAUUCAUUUUAGGCUUUAGAUCUUGACAUGUAAAGCAUAUGAACUCAACGCAUAAUCAACCCAAAGUCCAGUGUUUCUUUUUCUUUCUUCUUUUUUUUUUCGAGACAGGGUCUCACUCUGUUGCCCAGGCUGGAGAGCAGUGGUUGGAUCUCAGCUCAAUGCAACCUCCGCCUCCCAGGCUCAAGUGAUCCUCCCACAUCGGCCUCCUGGGUAGCUGGGACUACAGGCAUGCACCACCAUGCCUGGCUAAUUUUUUGUAUAGAUGGGGUUUCACCACGCAGCCCAGGCUGGUCUCGAACUCCUGAGCUCAAGUGAUCCUCCCACCUCGGCUUUCCAAAGUGCUGGGAUUUACAGGUGUAAGCCACUGUGUCCGGCCUAGUGUUUUUUAUCCACAGGCGCCCAGCUCUACCCAUGAGAUUACUUAUCCUGUCUCCCCAGGAGGCAGGUGGUGUAGGGAGCUGCUGGGAGGAUUAGGGAGAAUGUUGUGCCAAGGCCAGUUCCUGGCAUGCAGGACACACUUGCUCAGUAAAUAAGAGCUUGGCAUACGCUUCCCUACUCUCCUUGUCUCUCCAUAAGUGCACUUUUGAGGUUCUAGUUUCCCCCAAAACUUUGAAUAUUAAGCAACUCAUUUCUUUUUUUCUUUUUCUUUUCUUUUCCCUUCCUUCCUUCCUUCCUUCCCUCCCUCCCUUCUUUCUUUUCUUUCUCUCUCUCUCUCUCUUUCUUUCUUUCUUUUCUUUCUUUCUUUCCUUCCUUCCUUCCUUCCUUCUUUUUUUUCUUUCUGACAUGGGGUCUUGCUGUGUCACCCAGGCUACAGUACAGUCAUGCAAUCUCAGAUCACUGCAACCUCUGUCUCCCAGGUUCAAGCGAUUCUCCAACCUCAGCCUCUGGAGUAGCUGGGACUACAGGCAUGCACCACCAUGCUCGGCUAACUUUUGUAUUUUUCGUAGAGACAGGGUUUCACCAUGUUGGCCAGGCUGGUCUCAAACUCCUGACCUCAGGUGAUCUGCCUGCCUCGGCCUCCCAAAAUGCUGGGAUUACAGGUGUGAGCCACCACACCAGGCCUAAGCAACUCAUUUCAACACAUAGUUAUGGAAUAUUCUGGCAGUGUAUUAGGCUGAGGUUCUCUGUGUGUUCUGCGGAAAAGUACCUAGAAGGCAUGGUACUCUAUGCAGAACGUUCCAAGGCAUAACAAAUUCUGUCUUCAUAAGGUAGAGAUCAUUUAACCAUUAGGAAGUGUAACUAUAUUGUAUGUAUACCACAUAAAAUCACAACCAUAAGUACUCAAGUCUAUAACGAGUCCAUACUGUCAAAUUCACAAAAAUCAGCUGUUUCCAGUUUUCUCUCUCUCUCUCUCUGUCCUGUCUUUUUUUAUUUUUUUUUGAGAUGGACUCUUCCUCUGUCACCCAGGCUGGAGUGCAGUGGCAUGAUCUCGGCUCACUGCAACCUCUGCCUCCCCGGUUCAAGCAAUUCUCCUGCCUCAGCCUUUCAAGUAGCUGAGAUUACAGGUGAGUGCCACCAUGCCUGGCUAAUUUUUGUAUUUUUAGUAGAGACGGGGUUUCACCAUGUUGGCCAGGCUGGUCUUGAACUCCUGACCUCAGGUGAUUCACCAGCCUCAGCCUCCCAAAGUGCUGGGAUUACAGGCGUGAGCCACCGUGCCCAACCUCCAGUUUUUUCUUAAUAUUCAUCUACUAUACCAUGUGUGUGAUUUCUUUUGUCAUUUUUCAUGUUUAUAAUAUAGUUAGGCUUUGUGUCCCUGCCCAAAUGUCAUCUUGAAUUAUAAUCCCUGUAUUCCCCACAAUCCCCAUGUGUCAAGGGAGAGACCAGGUAGAGGUAAUUGAUUCAUGGGGGCAGUUUCCCCCCAACGUUGUUCUCAUGAUAGUGAGUUCUCAUGAGAUCUCAUGGUUUCAUAAGGGGCUCUUCCCUCUUCUCUCGGCACUUCUCCUUCCUGCCGCCUUGUGAAGAAGGUGCCUUUCUUCCCCUUCAUCUUCUGCCAUGAUUGUAAGUUUCCUGAGGCCUCCCCAGCCAUGCUGAACUGUGAGUCAAUUAAACCUCUUUUCUUAAAUUACCCAGUCUCAGGCAGUUCUUUACAGCAGUAUGAGAAAGGACUAAUACAGUUUGUUGAUUUUAUUUGCUUGCAACUGCUAGCAGGUAAGCAGUAGCUGGCACCAAACAUUCUAGAAAAAGAAAAUUGAGUCAAAAUUUAAAAAUCAGGGCUGGGCACACUAGUUCAUGCCUGUAAUGGCAGCACUUUGGGAGGCCAAAGUGGGAGGAUGGCUGAGGCAGGAGAAUUGCUUGAACCUUGGCGUUUGAGGCUGAGGUGAGCUAUGAUGGCACCACUGCACUCCAUCCUGGGUGAUAAAGCAAGAUCCUGUCUCUAAGAAAAUAAUUAAAAAAAAAAUAAACAUUCAGAAAAUUCUAUCUAGUAAUUUUGUUGAGCAAAUUGGGAAAAGCCCUUCAUUCUAUUUUGGUGGAAAACUUCUUUGGUAAAUGAUGGGUCCCCAAACUCUGCAUCUAGCAUUUGGGGAGCACUGCAGAAGGCAAGCAUUGGAUGUGGCAGGUCGCCCAUGCUUCUGUGAGAUCCGAGACAAGAGUACAAAUGGCAGCCCCCAUAGCAUCUGUUUAAAUAUGAAAAGUUACCAAUCAAACUGAGAAACCGUUAGAGAAAAUAUGUUCUACCUUCUUGUCUUAACACAUACAUCUUUAUCAUGUCCUAGAAGACCGGAUAGAAUCUGGUUUGGGAACAUGGUGGUGUGGGGAUACCCAGCCAUACCAAUUCUCUUCCCAUCCCAUCCUCUAUUCCAUUCCCCGCCAGAAAGGUCCUGAGUCAGGGGUGUGGAUUCCCAACACAGGGCACAAAUGCCGCCUGUGCCCCUUGAAAAAUGCCACACCUUCUUCCUUCCCACAUCCUGGGGCUUGGGGGCCUGGUGAAGAGGACCACGCAGGUCCAGGCAGCUGGCCCUGGGCUGCUAGGGCAGGAAACUCCUUCGCCCGUGGGCAGGAGCAGCCAGAGCGGGACUAGCGGGCGCCCUCUCCUGUGAGGGUCCAGCACAGGGGCCCUCCUGCCUGAGUCUAAGGGUGGGACUAGGCCGGCACUCACAGGGCAAGCAGGAGAGCAGGGACCCCACUGGUCCUCGCCUUGUCUGGGGGCCCCUGGCCCUGCUUCUGUAGGAGGACACGACAGUUGGCAAUAAUUCCACACCUGUGUCCCCAGUUCUUCCCUUCCCUCCACCUCACCAUUCACAUCCUGCUUCUUCCCUUCCCUCCACCUCACCAUGCACAUCCUGCUUCCAGCCCCGGGGCUUUCUCACCUGGACCACUGCACCAGCCUCUGACUGGCCUCCCUGUGGCUUUCCCUGCUGCCAUGCCCCCCACUCUCUCCACAAAGUAGCCCGAGUUAUCCCUUAAACAUGCACUCAGCCUGUAAUCCCAGUGCUUUGGGAGGCUGAGGUAGGAGGAUCACUCGGGGCCACGAGUUGGAGACCAGCCUUGGCAACAUAGCAAGACCUCCCUCUCUACAAAAAAAAGUUUUUUUAAAAAAACAAAGUGAAACAUGCACUCAGAUCACACCACUCACCAACUUAAACCCUCCUGUCACCACCCAUUGCGCAUGGGAGAAAACCCGUGUACAUCCAGCUGGCCACAGACCCUGCCUAAAUUGGCACUCGUCUCUGCUCAUGCCCCAUCCGCUCCUUGACUCCCUAGCUGGCUUUGCCAAGCAGAGCGUCUCCCAGCCGCAAGGUGCUGCGCUUUGCACUUUUGGUUCCCUGGAAUGCUCUUCCCAGGUUGGCACGACUCCUUCCUUCCUGUCAUUUGAGAAGGGGCUCUCAGGUUCCUCGCAGGGACCUGCUGCACACUCGUCACCCCUCCCCCAUUGUUCCGUAGGCCACUGUGUGUUUUAUUUUCCUCAUAGCACCCUCUAAAAAUGGUAUUUUAUGUGUUCCUUAUCAGCUUCUCCCCACUAGAGUGCCAACUCCACAAACGCAGGAACCUUGUCUGUCCUGUUCUGCCCAUUCCCAGAGCUAGGGCCAGCCUCAGCCUAUGCGAGAGCCUCAAAUAUUUGUUGAACGAACACAGAUGGAUUUGACUGCAGAAAACUGCUACCCCGCCACCCUCCUGGAACUGAGUCUGUUCCUAAGCCUAGAGUUGUUCAAGGGUGGCCCUGAAGGAUGCUGGAGAAGACCCGACUGACCCCCGGGUCAGGGAUCACUACAUCUGACUCAGUCCGGAGCUUCCUGAAGCAGUUUCAGGCAAGGCUGCCAGGGCCUGGAGGACCUGCUCAGUGCCUUUAGGGUAACUCCAAAGAGGCCACUGACAGGCAGUUAUGGCCCCCAGGGGCUUGGCUAAGCAAGAAGAACCUUUGUAGGGAGGAAAAUGGGGCCUUUUUUCGGGGUAGCUGCAGUCCAGCCAGGACACAAGGCUUUGUGAGCAGAGGUCACCUGAGUUGGGCCCUACCUGAAGCGCCCCCUCCACCAUGGCUCCAGAGCUCCCCCUACCUGUAGGGCACUGCCAGGAGGGGCGCCCAGGGAAGCAUGGACAUGGCUGAGUAUCAGACCCACCUAGGGAAAUGGGCCUGUCUCCCAGCUGGCUCAUAGGGGCCACAGGGACUGCUCUAUCCUGCCGACUUGGCAGGCCCCACUGCUCCAGAGAUAGGGUGGAGUCCUUGGAGCCCAUUCUUGUGCACCCACCGUUCUGACCCCAUUUCUUCUCUUUGCUGAAUUCCAAGGAUUUGUGCCUCAAGAGGCAUCUUUUAAAAAAAUUUUAGCUUGAUGCCUCAGCUCACACCUGUAAUCUCAGCACUUUGGGAGGCCAAGGUGAGAGGAUCUCUUGAGGCCAGAGUUUGAGACUAGCCUGGGCAACAUAGUGAAACUUCGUCUCUACGAAAAAUUUUAAAAAUUAACUAGGUGGGGCCAGGCGCGGUGGCUCAAGCCUGUAAUCCCAGCACUUUGGAAGGCUGAGGUGGGCAGAUCACCUGAGGUCAGGAGUUUGAGACCAGCCUGGCUAACAUGGUGAAAUCCUAUCUUUACUAAAAAUACAAAAAUUAGCCAGGUGUGGUGGCGGGCACCUGUAAUCCCAGCUACUCAGGAGGCUGAGGCAGGAGAUUCGCUUGAACCCGGGAGGUGGAGGUUGCAGUGAGCUGAGAUGGCGCCACUGCACUCUGGCCUGGGUAACAGAGUGAGACACUGUCUAAAAAAAAAAAAUUAGCCAGGUGUGACGGUGCAUGCCUGUAGUCCCAGCUACUCAGGAGGCUAAGACAGAGGAUUAUCUGAGCCCAGGAAGUCGCGGUUACAGUGAGCUAUGAUUGUGCCACUGCACUCUAACUUGGGUGACAGAGCAAGACUUUGUCUCUAAAAUUAAAAAAAAAAAAUCCUAAUAAGGUGAGAAGCCAAAUCUUUUGAAAAAUCAAAAUAAGAGUGUCUAGGGGCUGACUGCAUGACAGCCCCAGUUCCAGCCUUUUUUCCUUGUGAUUCUACUCAGCUGCCUCAAGUCUAAGCCCCUCAACACUGUGUAAAGUAGCCCCAAAGUGCAGACAAUGAAGCUACGGGAGGAACGAGCUGCACACAGUGGGCUACUUGGAACAUUUCCAAAGGCUGCAUCUGCUCUAGCACAGUAGUUGGAACUCGAUUUUUCCCAAAGGAAGCUAGUAUCAGGUCCUGCUGUGGCCUGUGGAAACACACUGUCAACUUACAGGUUAAGAAACCGAAUUUUAGAGUGUAAAUUAGUUCAACCGUUGAACUAAUGGUUCACAUUGAAAGCAGUGUGGCAAUUCCUCAAAGAGUUAAAAGCAGAACUACCAUUUGGACCAGCAAUCCCGUUACUAAGUAUAUACCCAGAGGAAUUAAAGCAUUCUAUCAUAAAGACACAUGCAUGCGAAUGUUCACUGCAGCACUAUUCACAAUAGCAAAGACAUGGAAUCAACCUAAAUGCCCAUCAAUGACAGGCUGGAUAAACAAAAUGUGGUACGUAUAUACCGUGGAAUACUAUGCAGCCAUGAAAAAGAAUGAGAUUCUGUCUUUUACAGGGGCUGUUAUCCUUAGCAAACUAACACAAGGACAGAAAACCAUGUUCUCACUUAUAAAUGGGAGCUAAAUGAUGAGAACUCAUGAGCACAAAGAAGGGAACAUCAGAAACUGGGGUUUACUUGAAGGUGGGGGGUGGGAGGAGGGAGAGGAACAGAAAAUAUAAGCUUUGGGUACUGGGCUUAAUACCGGGUGAUGAAAUAUCUGGACACCAAACCCCUGUGACACGAGUUUACCUAUGUAACAAACCACAUGUACCCC